AUAAAUUCUACACCGACAGAGCGGGUAACUUUUUACUCACCCUCGUAAGACACUUAAAUUUCCAAUCUAUUAUGAUGAAUAAAAGAGCUUAUACUAUUAAAUCUAAUUGUAUUUUGUUGCAUGAGAGUACACGUGUAUGUGAUGUACAUUACCUUUAUAUCCCCUUGAACGCUUCAAUAUUGCGCAUAUAUACUAUAUUUUGUACAGCUUCUAUAAAAUUUCGUAUGUUUGUUUAGGCUGUUAAUCUAGAGGCUGGAGUACAAAGAAGUGGCACAAUGAUGUGGGCUGAUGACAUUUAUAAUUAUCAAGGAAUCACCCCUACAUUCGCUCAGAAUUUUAAUGAAACUGUCCCUUGGGAAGGAAGAACUGAUACCUUGAUAUCACGGUUUGUACAUCCUAUAUAUACGACAAAUUUUAGAACAUUAUAUAACGAAGAACCAGAUCGUCGUGGCCAUGUGAUGUGAAUAAAAGGACUUGAAUUUGAUGAUAUUUUUAUAAUGUUAGAUAACAUAACUAAGUAUCUUCACAGUAAGAUAGGAUGACAUGGUUUACAUGAUCUUAAUGUUGUUCACUCGAGUGAUGAUAUUAUAAGGAAAAGUGUAAUAUCACAGGAUAUUUAUGUUUAGUAACCAGUAAUUCAGAGAUUGGUAUUCAUGGUUACUAUAACGAGGCUGUAGAAACGCACCCUUUCUUCUUUGCAAAUGGUCCUGUAUUUAUGUCUAAACCGAAACUGGAACCUCUGAAUAAUUUAGAUUUAUUCUUGUUAUUUUCUAAAAUACUUAUCUACAGUAUACCAUAAGGAAUGAUACCGUAUCGCACCUAAUCAAGUGCCUUAAGAAACAUCAACAGGAUAUCACAGUAAUCCCUUAUCGAC
This is a long non-coding RNA of Bombus huntii, 874 nucleotides long. RefSeq lists it as uncharacterized. The transcript is spliced from 3 exons. Lineage: Eukaryota; Metazoa; Arthropoda; Insecta; Hymenoptera; Apidae. The record is from RefSeq and is a predicted model, not a curated record.